Non-coding RNA from Erinaceus europaeus (western European hedgehog), 165 nucleotides. The record is from Rfam. NCBI's taxonomy places the organism in Eukaryota, Metazoa, Chordata, Mammalia, Eulipotyphla, Erinaceidae.
AUACUUACCUGGGAGGCAUGGCACCAUGGUCAAGAAGGUGGCUGUCCCAGGGCAAAGGCUACCGAUCACACUCUAGAUGUGCUGACCCCUGCGAUUUCUCCAAAUGUGAGGAAUCUCCACUGCAUAGUUUGUGGUAGUGGAGGACUGCGCUCACACUAUUCCCUG